CUCCCCCGCCCACCGCCUCAGCAACCAACCUCCAGGGAGGGGAAAGGGGGCAGAAGUUUGAGUUAAUAACUAAUAGCUAAAGAUGUAAACAAUAAGCCUCCAUAAAACCCCAAAAGGACUGGACUGGUUUCUGAGAGCUUCCAGGUUGUUGAGCACGUGGAGGUUCUGGGAGGGUCCACACCCAGAGAAGGCAUGGAAGCUGACCCCUUCCCCAUACCUUGCUCUUUGCAUCUCUUCCAUUUGGCUGUUCCCGAGUUGUAUACUUUGUAAUAAGUGGGAUUUCCACCCAACAACAAUUCAGCCACACUGCUUCACACAUCUAGAAUCCAUCCAAAAUUGUAAAGGCUUUGUGGCACUACAGUGAAACAGGCAAGAACAUCUUCCAAACAUCCAGCACAAGAGCACACAGGAGGCCGGCAUAAUCACGAAUUGCAGCUGUCUGAAGGGCAGUCACAUAAAAGAGGAGAAGCUUCACCUUUGCUUCACAAGGCACAUCUUGAACCAGGGAUGGAAAUUACAGAGAGGCCAAAACCAGCUCGGUGUGAGCAGGACUGGUAACAGACUGGCCAAGCAACAGAAGGGGCUGCCCUGUGAAGAAGCAAGCUCUCUGUCAAUGGGAGGUGCAAGCUGAGCCUGCACUACCUUUUGUCACGGUUGCUAUGGAAAAGAUUAAGAGCCCGGAUAGCCCUUCCUCCUCUGGGGGCCUGGGCAUCAGCAAGUCGGAUGGCAGUGGAAGGUGGAGAAAUGGAAUCCUGCUGGGGGCUCAGGAGGCCUGCCCCCUGAUGCUGCCGUGCACUGCAGAUGUCCUUGAUGAAGAGAAUGAAUGGAAGCUGUCUUUCUCAAUGGCAAAAGGGCAUACUGCUGUUAUUGUCAGUGAGGGGUCAGUAGUUUAAAUGAUGAAACUCUGGGGAUCAGCGUAAAGUAAACCAACAUACUGCAUGUAAGUAUCAAGUAAAUGAGCAGAGACAGCCCCUGGUUUACAAACACCUGACUUAAGCAUCGUCCAUCCUACAGGACAGGGAAGGAGGAAGAAGCUUCGAGAGGCUGGAACAGUUGAGGGAGCGCUGACACGGUAAAGGCCACUUUGCUCAUCAUCACCAGGCGUGCUGCCGAAAAUUUCCACUCUGUUUACUCCCAAGACCUUACUCCUACUAUGUGGAGACACAUUUGAAUAAAAAAUUGGCCUCUUUUCAAAGUCAAAAUUCUG
RNAcentral lists this long non-coding RNA (1207 nucleotides) under Homo sapiens (human). RNAcentral's name for it is "HSALNT0316886". Lineage: Eukaryota; Metazoa; Chordata; Mammalia; Primates; Hominidae. The record is from RNAcentral.